GAUGAACGCUGGCGGCGUGCUUAACACAUGCAAGUCGAACGGGAUCCCGGGGGUUCGCUUCCGGGUGAGAGUGGCGAGCGGGUGAGUAAUGCGUGACCGACCUGCCCCAUACACCGGAAUAGCUCCUGGAAACGGGUGGUAAUGCCGGAUGCUCCGGUUGGAUGCAUGUCCUUCCGGGAAAGAUUCUAUCGGUAUGGGAUGGGGUCGCGUCCUAUCAGCUUGAUGGCGGGGUAACGGCCCACCAUGGCUUCGACGGGUAGCCGGCCUGAGAGGGCGACCGGCCACAUUGGGACUGAGAUACGGCCCAGACUCCUACGGGAGGCAGCAGUGGGGAAUAUUGCACAAUGGGCGCAAGCCUGAUGCAGCGACGCCGCGUGCGGGAUGGAGGCCUUCGGGUUGUAAACCGCUUUUGAUCGGGAGCAAGCCCUUCGGGGUGA
Molecule: ribosomal RNA, 437 nt
Filed under: Bifidobacterium dentium
Lineage: Bacteria; Bacillati; Actinomycetota; Actinomycetes; Bifidobacteriales; Bifidobacteriaceae
Description: bacterial SSU rRNA
Rfam family: Bacterial small subunit ribosomal RNA
Source: RNAcentral